UUCUUGUUUGAACCUGAAAGUGCACUCUUGACUGGAGGCGAGGAAAUUCUGCAAAGCUAUAUUGAUAACAAUGAUGAAUCUUGUUGGAUGCAAUCACCUCUGUUUCAAGAUACGUAUUCUUUUAGUCCAACCGUGGAAACACCUUUCUGCUGUGAAUUACAAGGUUGGACUGCUGCAAAUUGUGAUCAGCCUCCGAGAUCGAAUCAAGCAAUUGAUAACAAUGAUGAAUCUUGUUGGAUGCAAUCACCUCUAUUUCAAGAUACGUAUUGUUUUAGUCCAACCGUGGAAACACCUUUCUGCUGUGAAUUACAAGGUUGGACUGCUGCAAAUUGUGAUCAGCCUCCGAGAUUGAAUCAAGCAAUUGAUAACAAUGAUGAAUCUUGUUGGAUGCAAUCACCUCUCUUUCAAGAUACGUAUUGUUUUAGUCCAACCGUGGAAACACCUUUCUGCUGUGAAUUACAAGGUUGGAUUGCUGCAAAUUGUGAUCAGCCUCCGAGAUCGAAUCGAGCAAUAUUUUAAUCAGGAUUAGGACCCAUUUUCUUUUCCCUUUUGAUUCAUGUAUACAUACUUGUAACUCGUAAUAUAGAACAAUAAUCGCUGGAGGGAAGAGAAAGGAAUGAUGUACAGUACAUUCCACUGUGUUACUGAUGCUAUAAACAACACUUACUGCUGGAACCACCUUUUUAUCGCUCGGUUUUAAAGUUUCAAUUCACCAUUACCAGAUAAUGAAAAGUUGAAUUACAAAUCAGUAGGCGAUAACUUUUCAGAAUUUUUUGACGAUCAAUUUCAUUCUCUCUGAUGCUACCACGCUGAUUACAUCGAGGAUGUCAAUGUUGUAUAUUGCCUUACUCAAAAAACAUAUGAAAAGAGUAAAAAAUAUUGAUCUUGGCCUAACUUUCCAACUGAUGGAGAGUUUUGGAUGGAUGGUGCAAUAGAAAAUAGCUAAUUCUAGGGCUUGCUGUUGCAGAUUAUGUGUUCUGUUCAUGAUAAUCAUGCCAGUCUAGUGUAGGACAAGAAAUCUUGGCUUAACUACAAAGAUAUUUGAGAGAACAAAUCUCAUUCUCUUGUUCCAUAUAAGAAUGCUACAUUUUAACCAUUCAAAGCAAAGAAAAAGCAAAAAAAUGAGCAUUACACUCUGAACAUAUAAGAAUGCCCUGCUCUACACCAGUCCAUUAACGGCUAGAACUUAUGAAACUUUGAUUCGAAAUAGAGAGAGACAUAUUUCAUCCAUAUUAAAGCCUAAACAUCCUGAUGCUUAAUCUCCCUAAGUCAAUUUUGAUCACCUUUUCUUCAGAUAAGUGAAUCUGCUUGUUUUGAUAUGAAAAUAAGCUAAUAAGCUUCUCAACACUCUGAAGGCCAGAAGUAGCUUCUUGCACAGCGUUUUGUUCUGAUUGUGAAACAAAAUUUGUCUGAUUCAUUAUGAGCUCCACAGCCAUGGUUGGGUGGAGAAUUAUGUGCAGGGAAGGUAUUUGAUAUAUGUUCAAAAUGAUAUUCAUAUCUCUUGUACUGUAAGACCAAAAAACAACUCUAUGACAUUCAAGUUUGGCAAAAGGAGUAGUUGCUAUUUGUUAGAACAGUAUAAUUGACAGCAUGCAACUACACAAACAGAAUUACAUAUGUAGAAGUUUUGAAUUUUUCCUGAUUGAGUGCUAGAGAUGGAAAUUUAAAUAAUCACAACAAACAUUUUUCGAUUAAGUAUGAACUAAGUGGGCAUGAAAAUGGAAAAUGAAUAUUAGUAAUCCAGAAAAGAGAUGAAGAUUGAACGAAGUUACCCAAUUUCACAGGAAAGAUAUUAUUCCAUGUGAUUUAUUUAUAGUUGAAUGCUUAUCAUUUUCUAUCUAUUGAAGUUUUUCUUUUCCCUUCUUCCCGAAGAAUUCCAUUCUCGACCAGUAAAGUGUUCUUUUGGAUUUCAAUUUUAGUGUUUAUAUGUUUCUGCUUUUAUCUUAUGUGGAUUUUUACUAAUAUGCAAAACUUUCCCUUUCUAAUUGUUUUUCUGGACAACUUAGUAGCUUUAUGUUUAUGAAAGUGUAUAUAUUUUCGAUUUGUGAACAAAAAUAUUUCAAAUAAAACCGUCAAAAAAUCAAGAAAAUAGAAAUAUAGAAAUAUUGUGGACAUUAAUAAUGAGAGACCUCUUGUCAUAAGUGACUACAAUAUGUGAACUUUACAGCUGAAAUCAACAAUAUACAAUAUGUUUUUCUUCUUGUAAAUGCUAAACAUAGAAAUUUAAGGAACUAAAAUGGAGUUUGAUAUCACAUAUCAAUUAUUAUUCAUAUCCUUGACAAGUGCUUAAAGGCUAUGAAAUAUUUGGUACCAAAGAGAAUAUUUUGGCAUUUUUCUUUUUAGGUCCCAGAUUGCUUUUUCUGUUAUUUAUGUAUUUGAUCUCAAAGUUCUGAUGGUUUGAUUCAAUUUUUCUACAUUUUACCAUAGAGGAGAAUCAAUUUUUGCACUUUUCUUCUACUAUAGUAUAAUGAUUAUAUACUAAUCCAUGUUUUGCCAGUUUUUGCUCUUCAUUUUUUUGCUUCAGUUUCCAAACUUCACUGCAAUUACAAAGUGUUGAGUUCUGCUCUUCAAGGGUAAAGCACAAACUAAGUCUCUAACCUUAGUUGCAGUUCCAGGUCUUCAUUGGUCCAUCCUAUUUGGGUGAGCUUGUAGAGCAAAAACAGGCUAUUAGGUUCAUUCCUCAAUUUGAGAAAGCACAACUUCACAUGGCACUCGUACUUUCUUUCUUUAACCUAUACUUUUUGUGUUCUAUGAUUAUUUUUGUGCAAUCUUCCCAUUUAAUGGUACAAAACUAAAGUUACUAGAAAAUUUUAAUUGCCGUCUCUUUAGUUGAUGUUUGCUUUACAGUUGAAAAAAUUUCUAGCCCUUAAUGUAGAGAAACUGGAAGAAGCCCCUGAGCAAUUCCUGAAUUUGUAAAUUACUAAGAGAUCACUUGAAAAUUAGAUACUUUAACAUCGAGGUUGCCUUUGGCCACUGCAAAUGGUAAGAGUACUUAACAUUAGUGCAAUUGGGAAAGUGUUGCAGAAGGCUUGAAAAAUGGUAAUGAAGGCGUAAAGUCUGUGUUUAAAGCCUAAUGCGAAUAAGCUCUCGAGGCACGUGUUUGAAAAAAAAUGAUUCUAAUCUCAAUUUUUGAGAGGUUUAUGCAUUUUUCUUUAGGUUUCAUGUAGGCGAUAUAAUGUUCAUUGUUAUGCUUUCCUUUUUCUUCUGCUGCCAUUUAUUUUCAUUGGUUGCUUUAACUUAAAAUCAAUUUUUAUUUCAUGUUAAAAGCUAACCAUUGCAUAUACAACUAUGUGAGAAAAGCUUGGCACAAUCAUAGGCACCAAUCCAUGAAAGGUUUAACAUUGGUGCAGUUGGGAAAGUGUUGCAGAAGGGUUGACAAAUGGUACUGAAGGCGAAAAGUCUGUGUUUGAAAAAAAUGAUUUUGUUUAACAGCAUUAUGAACCAUUUGUCGCAUAUGAAGGCCUUGAACAACUGCACCGCUUCAUCCUUGUCAUGGCAAUAACACACACACACACACAUAUAUAUAUAUAUAUAUUACAGCUGCUUAACAAUGCUGCUGGCAAUUGUUAAGGUAAUAUAUCGGUUUUCUUCAAUGGAAUCUUCUGUUAAAUUUAUGGCCUUUUCACAGACAAUUUUGCAAUGUGAUUCAAUGUGCAAACUUCAAUUCCAUUGGCUAAUUUUUCUACUUGAUUAUUAGUCAACCUGGAAGUUGAAAUCUAAAGAGGCUGUGUAUACCGUAAAGACUAGGAUCACACGAAUAGUUUGUCUACAUGAAUGGUAUGGUUCAGAAAAUUAUGUAAACACUAAAGAGUACUACAUCUCCAUAGAAUGCUACGAUGGUGAAAUGAAGUACGUAAGUUCCAUAGAGCAAACCUGAAUAGGAAAAGGCAUUGAGAAACCCCAUUAAUAACCACUAAUUAUAGAGCAAACCUGAAUAGGAAUAGCUUGUUGUGAUAGCCAUUCUGGUCUCGGCUUAAGGCAAGUAAUUGAUAGAUAUAUAAGUACAAAGAGUAAGAAAAACUUGCUAUAUUUUAAAACCAUACACAGCUGGCAUCUUAUAUAAAUUACAAAAGGAUUCUAGCAUACUUUAGUCAACAAGUUUCCACCUACUACCACCUUACCUGUUGACAGCAUCCCUUACCUUAUACAUGACCAUACUGUGCUAGGCUUUUUAAUCACAUAAAGACCAUAACUUAUACUUGAAUUAGGUACAACAAAAACACUAGACAUUUCACAACAAAAAUGUCAAUCCAACAUCAAUACUCCUCCUUGACACUCUUGCUGGAACCAUCAAGGCAUUUCCUUAAUGGAAGGAAUUCUUGUAUCUUGCCUCUUGAUCUUCCCGUCCCCAUCCCCCGGCAAUAAAAAAAAUAAUAAUAAUAAAAUAAAAUAAAAAAUAGAUAAACUGGCCUUCCUUUAAUUGCAAGAUUUUGUGUAUUAUAUGAUAUGAAAUUUGUUCUUUUAUUUUUGAUGGUGUUCUGUAUAUAUAAGGGUUGAAUUUUGUUCUAUAUUUUUUAUGGUGUUCUGCACAAACAUCAGCCCUUUCUCCCCGUUCAAACCCGGAACGGUCUUAGCAUUAAGAGCAUUAAACAACUGGAGUGAUCCCAUCUGACCAGCCCCCAGUCCUGGCAGGUUGUAGUUUCUUGCUGUGUUUCCGAUAUAGAAGCCAGCAACACGAGUUUGGGGCAAACUCGCAUGAAAUGUGGCCCCUUACAAACAAAACACCCCCGUGGUGCAACCUUUCCUUUCUUCUUUUCAUCACACUCUUUCCACCAAGGACUUUGUUUGUUGCCAACGGGUUUGUAAUCAGCCUUAUAAUUAGGUUUCCAAGCAGGCCUGCCCCGCAGCUUGUCCUUUUUUCCCUCAUUCCCGCCUUUGCCAAAAUUUCCCUUGGCAGGUUUGGUUGGCUUUGCCUGCGUUUCAGCACUUCUCUGGAAUUCGGUUAACGACUCCGCCACAACAAUGGCUUCGUCCACUGUCUUAACUCUCCGACACUGUAGUUCCUGUCUUACCCAAUUUGCACAACCAUCCAAGAAAUAGAACAAUAACACAUCAUCAGGCAUGCUAGGAAUCUGGAGCAUGAGGGUCGUGAAUUCCUUGAUGUAUUCACGAAUGGUGCUCUUGUGCUUCAAUUCCCGCAGCUUCUUACGGGCCUCGUAUACAACAUUUUCAGUAUAAAACUGCCUCUUCAACUCUUUCUUAAACUUGUCCCAGGUAUCAACCUUGGACGCAACUUCAGCCAAUUUGUGUCUCCACCAUAACGCAGCUGUAUUCGAAAGGUACAUAGUUGCUGUUCGAACUUUCAUCCCUUCUUCUAAGAUAUUCACCCCCUCGAAAUAAACUUCCAUUUUCCACAAGAAAUUUUCCACAUCCUUCGCAUCUCGUUUUCCCUCAAACAUUUUUGGCUUAGGUUAUUUGAUUCUAGGAGCUGCAACAACUGCAGCAGUACCUCCACUCGACCCUGCAGUGGACUGCUUGUAUGAUAGGUACCUGGACUGAUCUGCAGAUUCCAAUAGCUGCUAAGUUGAAUCCCGAACUCGCGCUCAACCUGUUCACACCAAAGGGAGUUAUUAUUACCCACCUUCGGCUAUUGGAGACAGAAGAUAAAUGUGUUACAAGGCCUGAAAUCUGAAUGAGAAAUGUAUUUUGAUUUAUUGAAAGCUAUGAUGAAAUUUGGAACAGCUCCAAGGCUUUUGAGAGGCCUGGACUCUCCCAAUGACUCCACUAAACACGUGAAUGCCCUCCCUUUACUCCCCCCCCCCCCCCCCCUCCCCCCCAAUACAUUUAUUCCCUCCCCAAACAUAGACUUUUUCCAAAAUUACCCCUAAUCUACUCACUGACUGAAUACAAAAGACCCGUUUUUCCAAAGUACCCCCAACCACUAACUAACUGAGACUGAAUUAGUUGCUGCGUUGUUUGCCUCCAUCCUGCUCUUUCUUUCUUCUCUCAUAGGUGAGCUUGAUUGGGGGCCUAUCAUUACCCUCGCUCAAAAUCCACCUUGUCCUCAAGGUGGAAGUCCAGAAAUUGUUGACGGAUCAUUUCAGAGGGUUCCCAUGUUGCUUCAAUGGCUGGAAGAUCCUUCCAUUUGAUCAAUACUUCCUGUCCUGUGCUAGAAGAACUAGGCCUGACCUGUAGUACCACCUCUGGCUCCACCUGUAGCUGACCUUCUGCGGUGAGUUGUGGAGGCAAUUGGGAGAUGGUCUGGGCAGCCCCUACUGCUUUUCGGAGCUGUGACAUAUGAAAAACGGGGUGUAUUGCAGCUCCAAGCGGAAACUUCAAUUUAUAUGCCACUUGUCCUAUUCGUGCUUCAACUUCAAAUGGUCCAAAAUACCUUGGGGAUAGCUUGGCAUUUGGUUGAUGCACUACAGAUCUCUGCCGGUAAGGUCGAAGCUUGAGGUACACCAAUUCCCCCACCUCGAACUGAAUAUCACGGCGCUGCCUGUCCACCCUCUGUUUCAUUCUCUGCUGAGACCGUGUGAGCUGCGUCUUCAGCUCCUGGAGUAUCUCAUCCCUGGUCAUUAAGGACUGUUCCACUGAUGAUAGGACUGUCAUACCCUUCUCGAAUGGCAACACCAGGGGGGAUCCCGCUUAUAAACAAUUUGAAAAGGAGUAUGGUUAGUUGCUGUGUGAAAUGAAGUAUUAUACAAAUACUCAGCCCAAGGCAACCAUUGACCCCAUUACGUGGUCGGUUGUAGGAAAAACACCUCAAAUAUGUCUCCAAGCAACGAUUUACCACCUCCGUUUGUCCAUCCGUCUGUAAGUGGUAGGCCGUACUAUGUUUAAGUGUUGUUCCUUGUGCUUUGAAGAGGCAGUCCAGAACAUACUCAUGAAAACCCGAUCUCUGUCAGAAAUGAUAGAUUUUGGUACCCCAUGCAAACGAACAAUCUCCCUGACAAACACAUCUGCUACUGCUUGAGCUGUGAACGGAUGUUUCAUCCCAAUAAAGUGGGCAUAUUUACUCAGUCUCAGUCGAUCCACUACCACCAAUAUUGUGUCUAUCCCGCCUGAUUUUGGCAACCCUUCUAUGAAAUCCAUCGAAAUAUCUGACCAAAUCAAAUCUAGAAUGGGGAGUGGCUGCAACAGUCCAAUAGGUGAUAAUGCCUCAUACUUGUUUUGCUGACACGUGGCACAACGAGCCACGUACUCUCGAACAUCCUUCUUCAUUCCAAUCCAGUGCACCUCCCUCGCAACCCGCUUGAACGUCUUUAGAAAGCCAGAAUGUCCCCCCACCUUAGAAUCGUGACAUUUGGCUAGUACCACCGUGACCAAUGAAGAGUGUUUAGGCAAGACCACCCUUCCCUUAUAGCGCAAUAUACCCUCGGUCAACGUGUACCCAGCUUUGAUCACCUGUCCUGACUGUAAGGCGGUCACCAGCCUUCCCAAUUCAACAUCCACUGCUACCUCUUUCUUAACAUCUUCGAGUUGCAGCCCUCGGGGAGCAGAGAGGGUUAAAAAAUUUAGAGUCGGUUUGACUCUUGAGAGGGCAUCUGCUGCUUUAUUUUCAAUGCCUGGCCGGUACUGGAUAUCAAAGUCAUACCCCAACAGCUUGGUAAGCCACUUCUGAUGCUCAUCACUUACUAUGCGCUGCUUAAGAAGGAAUUUCAAGCUCCUCUGGUCUGUCCUUACCACAAAGCGUCUACCCAUUAGGUAAUGACGCCACUUUUGAAUAGCAAACACAAUGGCCAUCAACUCCCGUUCAUAAACUGAUUUGCUUCGGGCGCUCAUCGGUAGCACUCGGCUGAAGUAAGCGAUAGGAUGCUGAUUCUGCAUCAAAACCGCCCCCAGCCCAUGUCCCGAAGCAUCUGUUUCCACUACAAACUCCUGAGAAAAAUCUAGCAAGGCAAGAAUUGGUAUCUCAGUCAUGGCCUUCUUUAGCUUGGUAAAGGCUGCCUCAACCUGCUCAUUACAGUUGAACCCACUUGCCUUCAACAAAUCAGUCAAAGGCAAAGCUAUUUUAGCAUAUCCAUUCACAAAACGGUGAUAGUAACCAGUGAGGCUCAAGAAUCCUCGUAAUUCCUUAGUGGUACAGGGUCGAGGCCAUUUCAGCAUUGCUUCAACCUUCUCUGGAUCUGCCGCUACCCCCUCGCUCGAAAUGAUAUGCCCCAAAUACUCAAGUUUUUGUUGGCCCCACAAGCACUUCUUCUCAUUGGCAUACAACUGGUGUUCUUGUAGACACUGAAAAAUGGUUUCCAAGUGGUCACGAUGCUCCUUUAUUGACUUGCUAUAAACCAGAAUGUCGUAAAAAAAAACUAAUACAAACUUUCGCAAAUAUGGCCUGAACACUUCAUUCAUCAAACUCUAAAAAGUUGCUGGAGCAUUUGUCAGCCCAAAAGGCAUAACCAAGAAUUCAUAGUGGCCUUCAUGUGUUCGGAAGGCCGUCUUGGGAAUGUCCUCAGACCUCACCCUUAUCUGAUGUAUCCUGAUUUUAAAUCCAACUUCGAGAAAAUUCGGGCCCCAUGUAACUCAUCUAAAAUUUCAUCAAUCACAGGAAUUGGAAAGCGGUCAGGAACUGUAAUUUUGUUGAGGGCACGAUAAUCAACACAAAACCGCCAACUUCCGUCUUUCUUCUUUACCAGCAAGAUGGGACUAGACAACGGACUGGAACUUGGUUGUAUGAUUUCUGCAGCUAGCAUCUCCCUCACUAACCUCUCAAUUUCAUUUUUUUGGAAAUGAGGGUAACGAUACGGUCUGACAUUCACAGGCGCAGACCCCGACUGUAAAACAAUCGAAUGAUCCCGUCCUCGAAACGGUGGGAGUCCACCAGUCCAUUGGAACAUCCCUAAAUAUCCUCGUAGCACGUCAGUGAUCACACUAGGAGCUGUGGGAGGUGCUUUUUCCUUCUCUACUCCCAUGCUACCAAGUUCCAACAACACCCCCGGCUUCUCCUCCUUGAACGCCUUAAUCAUACUUUUCAGCGACACUUGUGAUUUAAUGAGACUAGAAUUCCCUUGCAGUAAGAUGUUUCUUCCCUUCCACUUAAAUUGCAUUGUUAAAGCUCCCCAGUUCACUUGCAUUUUACCCAAGCUUCCCAGCCACUUCAUCCCCAAAAUGACGUCAGUACAACCCAGAUCUAGUGGAAGGAAAUCAUCUACUACUUCGAUGCCAUCCAGCGAAACAACAACCCCCUUACAUACCCCACCGCUUCGAACUGCCAGGCCCGUCCCCAUCAGCACACUGUAAUCGGCCGUACCAGAAGUUGGAAGCUUAAGUCGGUUCGCUAACUCGGCUGAAAUGAAAUUGUGGGUGGCUCCACAGUCGAUAAGCACAACUACUGACUAACCCAGAACUAACCCUUUUAGCUUCAUAGUCUUGGGAGUGGUUAGGCCAACCACUGAAUUAAGGGACAGCUCAACCAUGUCACCCACCACCUCCUCUUCAUUAACAUCUGUCAGCUCCGAUGAUUCCUCCCUCUCGCCUUCUUCCUGUACUACCAGCACCUGCAACUCUUUAUCCUGGCAGCGAUGACCGGGGCUGUACUUCUCAUCGCAGCGGUAACAUAAGCCCUUCUCUCUUUUUACCUGUAGCUCAUCAUUAGUAAGCCUUUUAAAAGGCGGUAUCACACUCGUUGCAGCAGGGAGCUGCGAUCCGAUAGCGUGCGCACUUUUGAAAGUCGCCUGCGCUGAAGUCACGCUGCUGGGUUGUGUUUGAUAUGAAGAGAAACGUGGGCUGGCACUUAUGGAUGGACUGGGGGAAUUAAAUUUAGUCCUAUUUGGGCUAAAACCCAACUGGGCCUGUUUAAGGAAUUCAUUCCUAUCCUCCACACGUUGGGCCAACUCCAUUAUGUGGCCCAAUCCUUUGGGCUUAAGCAUCCUUAUUUCAGCCCGGAUUACUGCCUUUAGCCCAUCAACGAAAUUCCCCUCCAAAACCUCUUCUGGAACCAUCGUCAAUGGAGCAGCCAAAAUCUCAAAAUCCCGCUAGUAUUCUCUCACCGACGCUUCUUGCUUCAACGCCAGAAAUUUUUCCAAGUUCGUUCCCUCCUGCAACGGGCGGAAGCGCUCUAGUAUGAGCUGCUUUAGUUCUCCCCAACUCCUAACUGGCCUCCUGCUGUCUUCCCACUAAAACCAAGCUAGAGCUUCAUCCUCAAAACACACUGCGGCUGCUUCGAUUUUCUCUCCAUUCGAAAGUUGAUUCAUGUUAAAAUACCGUUCAGCUCUGAAAAUCCAACCAUCGGGAUUAUCACCAUCAAAAAUUGGUAACUCCAAUUUCCGACCUCGUGUUUUCCCCUUCCACUGAUCGCUGACCCUAUUUUUGCCUUCGAAUUUUACUUCCUCAGCCACGGACUUCUGUGCCUCUUCUGAAAUUCCUGAUGAACCCAUCGAAUUUUCCAGUAUGACCUUCUCCUCCCUCAUGCCCUCACACGCAUCCCACUUCCUCAUCAUAGCCUCAAGUUUUUCCCGCACUUCCCCCAUGUCCCUCUGCAAUUCCAAUUUCACAUUACCCAUCCCUUCCUAUAGUUCUCCUUGAAUUCGUUCGAUUCUUGCUUCUAAUGCCAUUACCCGAUCUGUGAGUGUCAUUUUCCCAGGAUGUAUGCUCUGAUACCAAUUUGAUAGGUAUCUGGACUGAUCUGCAGAUUCCAAUAGCUGCUAAGUUGAAUCCCGAAUUCGUGCUCAACCUGUUCACACCAAAGGGAGUGAUUAUUACCAACCUCUGGCUAUAGGAGACAGAAGAUAAAUAUGUUCUCAGGCCUGAAAUCUGAAUAAAAUUGAAUGAGAAAUGUAUUUUGAUUUAUUGAAAGCUAUGAAUGAAAUUUGGAACAGCUCCAAGGCUUUCGAGAGGCCUGGACUCUCCCAAUGACUCCACUAUACACGUGAAUGCCCUCCCUUUACUCCCCCCAAUACAUUUAUUCCCUCCCCAAACAUAGACUCUUUCCAAAAUUACCCCUAAUCUACUCACUGACUGAAUACAAAAGACUCGUUUUCCCAAAGUACCCCCAACCACUAACUAACUGAGACUGAAUUAGUUGCUGCGUUGUUUGCCUCCAUCCUGCUCUUUCUUUCUUCUCUCAUAGGUGAGCUUGAUUUGGGGCCUGUCAUUGUACAUAUCCAGCUUCCGACUCAUUUGUCAAUCAAAGUUGACAAUACCUUCACCUGGUUCUGCAUGGCAGUUACAGAAUCAAGCACUUCAUUUUGCAGUCGACCAAAGUCUUCUUCUAUGGGCGCUACUGGAUAUUGUAGGUUGCUCUUAUUUUUUUCUCUUGAUGCCCAGUUGGUUAUGUUUUCCUUGUAGGACUUUAAUUAGUAUUCUAGAUGAUUAUUUUGUUGGCUACUAUUCAUAAGAGAUGUUAGAAUCUCAGGUAAUUGUUACACAUUGUCCUCUUCUUGCCAACUCUUUUCACUAGAUUUAUUUCAAAUAUGAGUUUCCUCUUGAACUAAAUAUCUUGCUAAAACUGUACAUCCAACUUUACCAGGUAAUGUGUCCAUAAAAGUGUUUUCUUCACCUAGUUUAUUAUCUGUUUGUGGUCAUGGAUUUUCUGCAGAAAGUAUACAAGAAUCAUUUUUUUUUUUUAACUAAACUCUUACUCCCAGGCGUUAUUGCUGUACCUUAACACGGGGUUAGCUCUGAGGUAAAAUAUUUUGAGAGUCAAUGGAAGUGAUAUACGUCCAUGGUAAUUGAGGUACCCUUUUGGCCCUUGUCAAUUACUUUUGAAGCGAUGUUCCUUUUAAUUUCCUUAAAAAUAGCUAAUUGCCAAGACAUAUUUCUAGCACAUACAUUCUUGUCCCCAUUGUUAGUUUACUCUGACUAGAGCUGUCUGCUGAAGUUGGUAGACAGGUAAAGUACUUGUUAAAAUAAAAAAAAUUUGUUGGUUUUUUUUUUUGUUGCUAAAAUUAUGUUUAUUUUCUUUGUUGUUAUAUAAUGAAAGUUGAUACUAAUGGGACAUCUUGUCAAGGCUAGAUAAGAACUUGUGGAUUGGAGGAUCAGAAUUUUCUUUGUUGUUAUAGUCUAUUAAUGCUUUUGUUUGUUCAUUACUUUUGUUUUCUACAAGUAUGCUGUAAAAACUGAAAGUCGCAUUUUGUUUCUCCAGGUAGAGAUGGAUUCGAGUGAAAAACACUGCCCGUGGGAUACAAAUUUCACAGGUGCAAGGUGCUUGGUAUGUCAGUGUACCUGCAAAUAUAGUUUGGUAUUUUUUUUUAACACUCAACUAAAUGAAAGUUCUUAAAUGAAACAAAUGCACUACUAAAAUGCAUACUUGAUAAAAUACUUUUAUAUAGUGCAUUUGAUACAAUGCUGCCCAAUCAAUGGAGAUCCGAAUUAUGACUUAGAAAUAGUGAAACCUCCCACUGCAAUCUCAAGUCUAUGCUAAUGGCUCUACCUGGAGACUCGUAUGCAUUACCAAGUGGGGAUAUUGCGGUGUUGAAGCCAAAUGAGUAAGUAGUUUCUAGCAAUUCAUAUUGACAUUUUUAUGUAGAACAUGCGAUGUUUUGAGCUAGAAACUAAAGAGGAGACAAUAUAGGCCUUUUAUGUUGAUUUUGUUAGAGAGAUUCUUAUUGUUGUUCUUUUCCUUUAUGCUGACGGGAGCAAGGCCCACUUCUGCUAAUUAUCGAUCCUGUAUGUACCAAAUUGAAUUGGGGUGUUACUUUUUUUUCCAUAACAAGUUUGCUAUUCACGGAUUAUUCAUAACAUUAUAGACAUGAAAGAAGUUACGUUUUGGAAAUUGGUGUUUAAGCAAUCAUUCGUAAAUAAGUGUCAUGUGACAAUAUUUGUUAGUUCUCAUACCGGUGAUAUGAUUUUGGUCUAUUGAAUUUCAGCAAAGAAGAAGGAAAAGAAGAGUGUGCACUUUUUAUUUUAAUCCUUAUUGUACUUGCACAAAUAUGUUAUGUUCUGCUUUGGCUGAUUAAUCUAUUCAUAUCUUCUGUAGGACAAAGAUCAGAAAGCAUGAGAUGAACAAAUAUAUGCAACAGAGGAUGAUUGUAUACUGAUGAAAUUUUUUUUUCUUUCCAAACUUAUCUGAAGUUAUCUUUGUUUUUUGUUUUAUUUUUUACAUGACCAGUUCGAAAGAUAAUUUCUCUAUGGAUCUUGUUGAAGUUUUCUUUAUUUCGUCACUCUUCAGAUGCUUCAUAAUUGUAUCUUAUGGGUGAAAUCAUGUGUGAAUUUUACUUUGUCAAAUUGAGUUUAUUUAGCUAACCUCAUUCAAUGCACAUCUCUCUCUUUAAUCCUACUAACAUUAUCUUAAAAAUAACAGAGUCUUUGCAUUGCACACGACAAAGAUAGUAUUUUAUAAAACUUUAUAUUUUGGUAAAUUGGAGAACAAAUAAGUUUGGUCCAUAAUUUAUUGAUAUUAUAGAUUUUUUAUUAAAGUUCAUUUAGUCCCUCUUUGACCCCAUUUUUUUUAAAAUCAUUUUUAAUUGUACGUUUUAUGAUAUUCAUAAUUUUUAUCAACUUUUUUUAGCUAUUUUUAUUAACUUUUAUCAAAAUCCAAAAAAAAAAAAAAAAAUUGAUUUUUUUCUAAACCAAACACGGACUAAAUGUCAUUAAUAGAUAGUAAUAUUGUUAAAUCAAUAAAUGUAAUUAAAAAUGACAUUAUCCAUUUACAAAACAAGCAUGUCAGUUUCUCGUGUCAAUAUAAAUUAGAACUUAUUAAAAGAACUUUCAAUUGGAUGAAUCAGUCAAUGAAGGAAAACGUACAUAGUUGGUUUGAGUCCCAUUUUUGGAAGAAUAUACUUUGUAAUAGUGAUUUUUCGGAGAAUGUAUGGUUAAAAAACAUGAAAAAAAUUUGAGUGUACGUAUAAAAUUAUUUUAUUAAAAGAAUGUGUGGAGUUUUGAGAAGAAUAAGUUUCUAAACAAUGGGAUUAAACAUCGGCUUAAAAAAUACGAACACUAGUUUUUCAAGUUACUCAUUUUUGGCGAAUUAUCAGAGAUCUCCCCUAUCGUUUGGGGUCACUGGGCAUUGUGGACCAAUCAUUUUUGGGCUCGGCAAUUUGGCUUCGCUUUUAUGGAAAAUACAAUUACUCCCCAUGCAACCUACUACCAUCACACCAACAAGCUUUCCCGCCGUCGGUUAUUACAUGUACGAGGAUGAUGUAGUUGCAGCCAUUGUUUGGAAGAUCAGACAAAUUUUUAAUCUCCUUUUCCUCUCUUCGUCAUGAAAUUGUAACCUGUAAGGGUGCUUUCACAUUUGCAAUUAUCAGAGCCCAAGAAUCAUAGGGUAUCAAAUAAGGAACAUGCUAAACAUAUAGUGGGGAAUGGCUCGAUAACAAUUUCUAACGAUGGUGUGAUUAUUGAGAUCAAAAUGGAAGCUAUGAAAGCAAAAGAAGAGGUGGGGCUAGUAAAGAAUGUGAAGGAAAAGCUGUGAAAGAAGGCGAAUGCUAAGUUGAAGGAGCAACUUGGGCCGGAGAAAAUUGCAAACACUUGUUAUUACCUUUUAAACUAUUAGCUUGCAGAAUCUCGUAAAGUCCUUGUUACAUGAGAAUAUCUUCAGUGUGACUUGCCAAAUAUUAAAAUAAUUCUUCCCUUCGAAAUGUUCCAACUGAAAUUUGAAACUUGUCAUUGUCUUCCUAGCAAUCCCAAAAUUUGAACAUUGAGCUCUGACGCCACUAUUGAAAUGAUGAUGAUGAUGAUGAUGAUUCCAUAGAACCAACGAAAAUACAAAACACUAAACGAAUUGGAAAGAAAAGUAAUAAUUAAAUGUGGUCCGACAAACCACAUACAACCACGGAAGAAUGCUAAAAAUAAAUUUUUUAGUGGAUUUUGAUAAAAGAAUGAUAAUAUGUUGGGUAAAAAAGAUGAUAAAAAUUGUAGAUUCCAUAAAAUAUGUGAUAAAAAAAUGAAUUUUAUAAAAUGAGAGCCAAACAUGUACUUAUCGCCUUAUCUUCAUCCUUAAUCUGACCAUCAACAAUAAGUAACUCAAUUACACAUUUUUUUAAAUUUAUAUAGAUGAUCCAUUACAUACGAAUCCUCAUCGGUCUUCAACUUAUAUAAUUACUUCUUCAAUUAUAGAGCCUGUUUGAGAGUGAUUUUGAAAAUUGAUUUUUUGACCGUUAGGGAAAAAGUGGGGUCCACAUGUAAAAGAAUUAAUCAAAUAUGACUGUUGAAAUAGUGAAAUAACGAUCAAAAAAAUCAUUUUUUUGAGAGAAAAAAUCACUCCCAAACAGGCUCAUAACCUAUAUUUGAGUAAUUUAGACAUACAAAUCUUCUGACUUUUUUCAUAACUUAGAAGGUGAUAUCACAUUUAGAAUACUAUACUUUACCACGCGAGCUAGAGACAAUCUAAUCGUAUUGAUUGCCAUUGCUUCUAACUCUUGCAGCUUUCAUCCUUUUUAGACUCUUACCUUUUAAAAUCUCAUAAAGUCCACGUCGUACAAGAAUAUUUUCAAUGUACUUGCCAAAUGCUAAAAUUAUUCUUCCCUUCAAAAUGCGCCAACUCAUAUUUGAAUCUUUUCAUCAUCGUCACGGCAAUCCCAAAUUUUGAACAUCGAGCUUUGAUACCACUGAUGGAAAAAAAUUAAUCCAAAAAGGUACGAAACACAAAAUGAAUAAAAAAGACACGAAAUAAUUAAAUGUUGUUCAACAAACCACGUACAACCAAGGAAGAAGAGACUUUGCUCCUGUUUGGUUUAGCUAAAAAUCAUAUUUUAUUAAAUUUUGAUAGAAGUAUGACAAAAUGUAUGACGGAAAAAAUGAAAAAAAUUAUGGAUCCUAUAAAAUAUGUAAUUGAAAAUGAAUUUUGAAAAAGAGCCAAACAUAAGCUUUAAUAAUUUUUUUAAAAAAAAAUACUCAAUAAAAGUUUUCAUUUACCUCACCACUUUUUCGCACACAAAAUUAGAAUAUUAAUCCAAAUCACACAUGUCCCGUUUUUCUAGUUCUCUCUUUCGCCUCUCUCUACCUCCUAUCUUCAAAAUCGGUCAAAUAAGCUUAAUAACAAAUUUUUAAGCAGACAGACACUUGCGAAUUCUCAUAAAAUGUUAAAAAAUAUACAAAACGUUGUCAAUUAGGGAUUGAAACUAGGAGCCUGUUCAUUUGGCUUGAUCUCACUAAAAUAUAUGGAAAACGUUUCUACCAAAAUCUUCCUUCUUUUGCUAUAUUGUCACGUGUCUCACUUUCUCGUGUGUGUAUAAUCAAAUUCUAAUCUUGGUUACUUAAUUGCACGAUAACCAACUCUUUUUCUUGAUUAGUCAAUAUUACUUCGUUAAACAACAAUUAUGAGGAGAAUUCUCGAGAGUGUUUUUGAGCCCAUUUUUUGUGAAAAUAAAUUUUAUAACAACGAUUUUUUAAAGAAUGUAUGUAAAAUAAUAAUAAUAAUAAUAAUAAUAAUAAUAAUAAUAAUAAUAAUAAUAAUAAUAAUAAUAAUAAUAAAUUUAUGUGUAAAAUUAUUUUAUCGGAAGAACGUGAUUAAAAUGAGUUUGGCGAAAAAUAAUUUUUUAGAGAAUGAGGACAAACAGGGCCAAAUUUGAUAUGAAGGAAAUUGCAAUUUUACUCCCCAACAAUUAGAACCGCCUUAAACUUCAACCUAGUAGUUUCAAUUUUCAAAUAUCAAUUUCAUUGCUCGCCUCCCGCCUUUUUCCCAACGGCUCAGUUCUCCGCUCCCCCUCUUAUAAAAGAAAGCCCUCGUCUCGAACACACAACAACUAAUUUCAAUUCCCGCCUUUGAACACAACGUCUCUUCAAUUCUCUCGGUUUCGGUUUCAAUUUUCUCCUCUUGAAAGAUUACAUGGCGGAUGCUGAUGUGUUGAAGGCCAAGAAAAAAGCAUUCCUGAGGAGAAAAGAAUGCAUAAAGAGGAAGACUAUGGAAUUGUCAACUUUAUGUGAUGUGAAAGCCUGCGCAGUGAUUUUAGGCCCCGAUGGACAGAUUGAUUCUUGGCCGGAGAAUCGUAGUGAAGUGCAGGAGGUGAUCAAUUUGUACCAAAACGGGUCUAGUAAUAAAAAGCGGAAGCAACAAUAUGAUGAUAGGGGUUGUAACAAGAAGCAGGUUCUGGGUGGUGAUGAAGGGGCUUUGAAUCCGGAAGAAUUUCUGAAAAAGAUUGAUGCCAAAUUGGGUGAAGUCAAGAACCGGAUUCAGUUUCUCAGGUCCAAAGAACAAGAAAUCGAACCAGGUAUUUUCACCAGCCCCUUUUUAGUUUUUAGUCAUGUUUCUCUGUUCUUUCUGGAAUUCAUAUACUUGUUCUAUAUUCAUUCAUGGAUAGAUGUUGCUUGUUGCUUGAAUUGUUUUCGCUUUAGAUGGUUCGUUGCCCAGAAUGUGACGUUCAGCACUAGUACUCUUAUAAGUAAAUAACCAAUCUUAAUUUCCCAGCAUAAACUUACAAUUUUUAGUAAUAUUGAUAUAAAACUAUUUUACAGAAAACACAAAGAAUCGGAGGUUUAAAUCUUAUGAGAUCAGUUUUAUGUAAUAAUUAUUAGACUUGAUCACUUCUCUUAUGUUGUCACAAAAUCUAGGCUUCUUCGAUCUGGUCUUCAUGCUGAAAUUGAUUUUGUGAAUCUUUUUUAGUAUUGUCAUCAUCUUUAAUUAACUUGGGAUAUUAACCCUUAACAGUUAUGUAUAUAUCCUGAUUGAAUCUUGUAAAUCAAGUGACUCAGGUUCCAGAAAAUUAACAAAUGACACACUUUAUAUAACAAAAAAAAUGCUUUAGCAACUAAAAUGUUAUUGUUUCUACAUUUUCUUCUCUUCGUUGAUUCACAACAGGGGAUUUACGGGGGAGACUGUGCAAAGGGAAGGGGGGGUGUAAAAAACGAAUUAAGUGUGGAAGUCCAAAAUCUUACAAAUGUUACCCUCUCAUGUGACUACUAUUUUUCGCCGUCAAAAUCUGGACACAAUCUGUGACCGAUUGCAGCAAUUUUAAGUGGUAUUACAGAAAAUUGUUUGAAACAUUAGCCGAGUGAAGUUAUGUCUGAAAGCAAGACCAUCCUGUCCUAUAUUGUCCAUGUAUAUUCCACUCUUAUGUCCAUCAAGAAAUAUCUUUACCGAGAGACUUAUAACUUCUAAUUUUCCAGGCUGGCCUCAAAAAGAUUCACAAAAUCUGGGCUCACAUUCUAAUGUUGGCAUGCUGGAGUUUGGAAAUCAAUUGCCAGUCGAUAUUGUGUCUUCUAUAGGUGGCUUUCCUAGCAAUCUCGAUGCUAUGGAUUUCGGACCAGAAACCAGCUUUCAGUCAUCACAGGCAGCCUUCCCUCAGCUUCAACAGCAGCUGCACAUGGAGCAGCCAUGGAACUGUAUGGAUUCUCCAUUCUGGUUUGAACCCGAAAGUGCACUCCUGACCGGAAGCGACCAAUUUCUACAAAGCUAUAUUGAUAACAAUGAUGAAUCUUCUUGGAUGCAGUCACCCCAAUUUCAAGAGAACACCUUUCUGCUGUGAAUUACAAGGUUGAACUGCUGCAUCGACCUCCGAGAUCGAAUCAAGCAAAAUUUUAAUCAGGAUUAGGACCUCUUUUCUUUUCCCUUUUGACUCAUGUAUGCAUACUUGUAACUCGUAAUAUAGAACA
This 18408-nucleotide long non-coding RNA is filed under the name Olea europaea (common olive). RNAcentral describes it as "long non-coding RNA (OEUR_LNC001771)". Lineage: Eukaryota; Viridiplantae; Streptophyta; Magnoliopsida; Lamiales; Oleaceae. The record is from RNAcentral.